This 1184-nucleotide ribosomal RNA is filed under the name uncultured Archaeoglobaceae archaeon. RNAcentral's name for it is "bacterial SSU rRNA". It matches the Rfam family "Archaeal small subunit ribosomal RNA", at positions 21 to 1193 of the family's 1478-position model. Lineage: Archaea; Methanobacteriati; Methanobacteriota; Archaeoglobi; Archaeoglobales; Archaeoglobaceae. The record is from RNAcentral.
AGGCCGCUGCUAUCCGGCUGGGACUAAGCCAUGCGAGUCAAGGGGCUUGUAUCCCUUCGGGGAUGCAGGCACCGGCGGACGGCUCAGUAACACGUGGACAACCUGCCCUCGGGUGGGGGAUAACCCCGGGAAACUGGGGCUAAUCCCCCAUAGGUGAUGGGUGCUGGAAUGCCCCAUCACCGAAAGCGCAGCGCCCGAGGAUGGGUCUGCGGCGGAUUAGGUAGUUGGCGGGGUAACGGCCCGCCAAGCCGAAGAUCCGUACGGGCCAUGAGAGUGGGAGCCCGGAGAUGGACCCUGAGACACGGGUCCAGGCCCUACGGGGCGCAGCAGGCGCGAAACCUCCGCAAUGCGGGAAACCGCGACGGGGCUAGCCGGAGUGCCGAUGCCUCGCAUCGGCUGUCGGGGAGCCUAAAAAGCUCCCCACAGCAAGGGCCGGGCAAGGCCGGUGGCAGCCGCCGCGGUAAUACCGGCGGCCCGAGUGGCGGCCACUAUUAUUGGGCCUAAAGCGUCCGUAGCCGGUCUGGCAAGUCCCCCGGGAAAUCUGGCGGCUUAACCGUCAGGCUGCCGGGGGAUACUGCCAGACUAGGGACCGGGAGAGGCCGGGGGUAUUCCCGGGGUAGGGGUGAAAUCCUGUAAUCCCGGGAGGACCACCUGUGGCGAAGGCGCCCGGCUGGAACGGGUCCGACGGUGAGGGACGAAGGCCUGGGGAGCGAACCGGAUUAGAUACCCGGGUAGUCCAGGCUGUAAACGAUGCGGGCUAGGUGUCGCGACAGCCACGAGCUGUCGCGGUGCCGGAGGGAAGCCGUUAAGCCCGCCGCCUGGGAAGUACGGCCGCAAGGCUGAAACUUAAAGGAAUUGGCGGGGGAGCUCUACAAGGGGUGGAGCGUGCGGUUUAAUUGGAUUCAACGCCGGGAACCUCACCGGGGCCGACGCCAGGAUGAAGGCCAGGCUGAAGGUCUCGCCGGACACGCCGAGAGGAGGUGCAUGGCCGCCGUCAGCUCGUACCGUGAGGCGUCCACUUAAGUGUGGUAACGAGCGAGACCCGUGCCCCCAGUUGCCAGUCCUUCCCGCUGGGAAGGAGGCACUCUGGGGGGACCGCCGGCGAUAAGCCGGAGGAAGGAGCGGGCGACGGUAGGUCAGUAUGCCCCGAAACCCCCGGGCUACACGCGCGCUACAAUGGAAUC